Molecule: unclassified non-coding RNA, 332 nt
Filed under: soil metagenome
Description: partial contains 5.8S ribosomal RNA, internal transcribed spacer 2, and large subunit ribosomal RNA
Rfam family: 5.8S ribosomal RNA (bases 1-120)
Source: RNAcentral
GAUGAAGAACGUAGCGAAAUGCGAUAAGUAAUGUGAAUUGCAGAAUUCAGUGAAUCAUCGAAUCUUUGAACGCACAUUGCGCCCGCUAGUAUUCUGGCGGGCAUGCCUGUUCGAGCGUCAUUCCAACCAUCAAGCCCUGUUUAGGCUUGCGUUGGGGCCCUGCGGUUGCCGCAGCCCCCUAAAUGCAGUGGCGGGCUCGUUGUCACUCCGAGCGCAGUAGCGUAUCUCGCUCUGGGCGUGGCGGCGGGUGCUAGCCGUGAAACACUCACUAAGGUUGACCUCGGAUCAGGUAGGAAUACCCGCUGAACUUAAGCAUAUCAAUAAGCGGAGGA